RNAcentral lists this non-coding RNA (98 nucleotides) under Parabacteroides chinchillae. Lineage: Bacteria; Pseudomonadati; Bacteroidota; Bacteroidia; Bacteroidales; Tannerellaceae. The record is from RNAcentral.
CAAGGGGGUGCUUGUACCGAUUCGUUCUGAUAAGGUUGCAGGCUGAGAUUAUACCCAUAGAACCUGAUACGGGUAAUGCCGGCGCAGGGAAAUUGAAU